Molecule: ribosomal RNA, 568 nt
Filed under: uncultured archaeon
Lineage: Archaea
Description: bacterial SSU rRNA
Rfam family: Archaeal small subunit ribosomal RNA
Source: RNAcentral
CGGGGUGCAGCAGGCGCGAAACCUUUACAAUGCUGGCAACAGCGAUAAGGGGACCUCGAGUGCCACGAUACAAUCGUGGCUGUCUAGUUGCCUAAAAAGCAAUUGAUAGCAAGGGCCGGGCAAGACCGGUGCCAGCCGCCGCGGUAACACCGGCGGCUCGAGUGGUAACCGCUAUUAUUUGGUCUAAAGGGUCUGUAGCCGGCUUAGUCAGUCUUUUGAGAAAUCUGGCCGCUCAACGGUCAGGCGUUCAGGGGAUACUGCUAAAGCUCGAGACCGGGAGAGGUGAGAGGUACUUCAGGGGUAGGGGUGAAAUCUUGUAAUCCUUGAAGGACCACCAGUGGCGAAGGCGUCUCACCAGAACGGAUCUGACGGCAAGGGACGAAAGCUAGGGGCACGAACCGGAUUAGAUACCCGGGUAGUCCUAGCCGUAAACGAUACUCGCUAGGUGUCGGCCACGGUGCGACCGUGGUCGGUGCCGUAGGGAAGCCGUGAAGCGAGCCACCUGGGAAGUACGGCCGCAAGGCUGAAACUUAAAGGAAUUGGCGGGGGAGCACAAGGGCGAAUCGCG